Molecule: ribosomal RNA, 768 nt
Filed under: Lentamyces parricida
Lineage: Eukaryota; Fungi; Mucoromycota; Mucoromycetes; Mucorales; Lentamycetaceae
Description: LSU rRNA
Rfam family: Eukaryotic large subunit ribosomal RNA
Source: RNAcentral
AGCGGAGGAAAAGAAACUAACAAGGAUUCCCCCAGUAACGGCGAGUGAAGAGGGAACAGCUCAGAUUUAAAACCUGGUGGGCACCGCCUACCCGGAUUGUAAUCUAUGUUGCGCAAGUGCCGAGAUUAGAAUGGUCAACAAGUCCUUUGGAAUAAGGCUUCAAAGAGGGUGACAAUCCCGUUUUUGGCCCAUUUUGGUUCAUAGUGCACUGGCAACCGCGAGUCAGGUUGUUUGGGAAUGCAGCCUAAAUCGGGUGGUAAAUCCCAUCUAAAGCUAAAUAUUGGCGAGAGACCGAUAGCGAACAAGUACCGUGAGGGAAAGAUGAAAAGAACUUUGAAAAGAGAGUUAAACAGUAUGUGAAAUUGCUGAAAGGGAAGCGUUUGCAGCCAGUGGGGUCAAACCGCGGUUUGUUGGGUGUGAUAAUUGUUUUGAUGACACCCGACAGACUCGGAUUGGCGUAAUGGCUGUCAACGACCCGUCUUGAAACACGGACCAAGGAGUCCACCAAACGUGCGAGUAUUUGGGUGUUAAACCCGCAUGCGCAAGGAAACUGAUAUAACAUGCGAUCUUCGGAGCAGCAUGGCCCGGCGAGGACGUUUCAACUGAAUUUGACCGCGGCAAAGCACGUUUGAUGGGACCCGAAAGAUGGUGAACUAUGCCUGAGUAGGGUGAAGCCAGAGGAAACUCUGGUGGAGGCUCGUAGCGAUUCUGACGUGCAAAUCGAUCGUCAAACUUGGGUAUAGGGGCGAAAGACUAAUCGAACCAUCU